Molecule: long non-coding RNA, 1675 nt
Organism: Equus asinus (donkey)
Lineage: Eukaryota; Metazoa; Chordata; Mammalia; Perissodactyla; Equidae
Source: Ensembl
AGGCUUUCUCUCAGCCACAAUCUUAGCUUAGCUGUAAGGAAGACUGCAGUCACGUAGCACUUUGCUUCCAGGGAUCUCAAAGAACUUUAUGCAUCAUUUAUCGUGACCCUUGUUUUACAAAAGACCAGUUACCUGAGGUUUGGGCGGGGGUUAGGGGAUAGAUGUUUGAGGUAUAUUUACACCAUUAAUCGAGUGAGGGGGAAAAAAGACAAAACCUCUGGUUUAGCGGUUUCCUCCUCGAUCUGAAGCCCCUUCUCGCAGUCAUCUCAGCAAUGAAACUUCCUUUAUUUGUCCAGCACGAGAGGGCCAAAGAAACAGGUUUAUCCUCUCACCCAAAAGCCCUUUCUGAGACGGCUGGCCAGACACACACAGAGCACAGAGCCCUGCUUGGGAAGGAAGGUUCAGAGAACAAAUUGCCUUUUAAAACUGUUGGGCUGGACCUGCCUCUUCCAAAGCUAAAAAUGGUGAGUCAGGAUUUAGGCGUCCAUGCUCUGGGGAGAGAAGGCAGAUGUAAUUGGGGAAAGCUCUGGCUGGCAGGGUGUUGGGGUACAGGCGAGUUGGGGAGCUAGGUCUCCCAAGGGGGCCAGCAAUGCGCGUGCUAGUCGAUUGCGGGCUCCCGACGCGAGACACCCCAAAACCUGCUCCCCAGUGAGAACAAAGGCAGGCGCGGAGCGAGAACCUGAUUGGUGCCCGGUCCUCACCGGUGUCCUCCGGGCCCCGGAGAUAACUUGCUUCACCCACUGGCGCGGAGCUCCGUCUCACUGGAGCCCCAGCUCCCCACCCGGCCUUGGCUGUGACCACACAGGACUGUGCGUUAUGACAUCACCUGUUUUCGCUCUUUAGAACACGAUCAGUAUUCUCGGCUUCUCCUUUUUUAAAGGUCUCUAGUGCACAAGGAUUUGCGAAGGCCUGCCGUUCACAGAAUGAAUCUGUGGAGAUGAUUUAAAAGAACGGUUGCACUGGUUUGCAUUUCUGUCUUUUCUUUUUAAUUUAAAAGACUACCCUGGUUUCAUUAGGGAUUCAGUGUGGUGUUGUGAUGCAAAAUCAGAAAGAGACCAACACGCUUAAACGAAGUCUACACAAGGAACAAAGGAAAUGGAAAUCUGGCAGUGUCAGGUUUAAAUAGAUUAAAAUAGACUGGAAAACACUAAAAAGGUCUAAGUUAUGUGACUGGACUUCUUUUUUCUUUCUCUGGGGGCCACCCAAAGCCUUUGGAUUGCAGGCAUAUGUUUGUGGAGUGCUUACUGUGUGCCAGGCACUUGGCUAAUCACGGAGAUAAAGUGAUGAACUGCUUCAACAACAUCAUUCUACCCGGAUUCCAGAGUGAGAUCAGACUCAAGUCUGGCCACAUGGCACAAAUGGACAACCCAUACAUUUGGAGAGACUCCAAGAAAUCCAUCCGAAGCACUGAAUGGUCCUGGCCCUGUUCCAAAAUUUUACUAACCUUCCACAAAUUGGGAUUCCAGACACGUUCUUACCUUGGCCUCCAGGAUAAUGGAAGCCACAAAAGAGACAGAAAUUAAAAUGUCAGCCCAGCUGGGCCCCACAAUGUGGGCCAGCAAUUACAGUGGAACCCACUGCCUCUUAGAUCACCUUAGUGCAGAACAUCUGUGUUUCCUGCAACAAAGAUAAUAAAAUAAUCCAGAGCCCUGUCUUACAUGCUCCUUAACUCUGC